This 262-nucleotide ribosomal RNA is filed under the name unidentified marine bacterioplankton. RNAcentral's name for it is "partial 16S ribosomal RNA". It matches the Rfam family "Bacterial small subunit ribosomal RNA", at positions 49 to 339 of the family's 1533-position model. The record is from RNAcentral. RNAcentral also lists the same sequence under 1 other name.
UAAUGCAUGCAAGUCGCACGGAGCUUCGGCUCAGCGGCGGACGGGUGAGUAACACGUAGGAACCUGCCCGGAAGUGGGGGAUAACUCCUCGAAAGAGGAGCUAAUACCGCAUGUGGUCUACGGACCAAAGCAGCAAUGCGCUUCUGGAGGGGCCUGCGGUGGAUUAGCUAGUUGGUGGGGUAAUGGCCUACCAAGGCGACGAUCCAUAGCUGGUCUGAGAGGACGGCCAGCCACACUGGGACUGAGACACGGCCCAGACUCC